This 71-nucleotide transfer RNA is filed under the name Echeneis naucrates (live sharksucker). RNAcentral describes it as "tRNA-Phe". It matches the Rfam family "tRNA". Rfam says of the family: Transfer RNA (tRNA) molecules are approximately 80 nucleotides in length. Their secondary structure includes four short double-helical elements and three loops (D, anti-codon, and T loops). The record is from RNAcentral. Lineage: Eukaryota; Metazoa; Chordata; Actinopteri; Carangiformes; Echeneidae.
GCUAGCGUAGCUUAAUUAAAGCAUAACACUGAAGAUGUUAGGAUGGACCCUAAAAAGUCCCGUAAGCACAA